This 486-nucleotide ribosomal RNA is filed under the name uncultured bacterium. RNAcentral's name for it is "partial 16S ribosomal RNA". It matches the Rfam family "Bacterial small subunit ribosomal RNA", at positions 30 to 507 of the family's 1533-position model. The record is from RNAcentral.
AUUGAACGCUGGCGGCAUGCCUAACACAUGCAAGUCGAACGGCAGCACGGGUAGUUGUCCCUGGUGCCGAUUGGCGCUGGCGGGAGUAAUACAUCUGAAUAUGUACCGUAGUGGGCGAUGGCCCGGCCAAAGCCGGAUUAAUACCGCAUACGCUUACCGGCUGCAGGCGGGAGCACUGGAGGCUUCGCGCUUUCGGGUUGGAAGAUGUCGGAUUAGCUAGUUGGUGGGGUAAAGGCCUACCAAGGCCACGAUAAGUAGCUGGUCUGAGAGGGAGACCAGCCACACUGGAACUGAGACACGGUCCAGACUCCUACGGGAGGCAGCAGUGGGGAAUAUUGGACAAUGGGCGAAAGCCUGAUCCAGCAAUGCCGCGUGUGUGAAGAAGGCCUUCGGGUUGUAAAGCACUUUUGUUCGGAAAGAAAAGCUGGGCCCUAAUACGGUCGGGUUAUGACGGUACCGAAAGAAUAAGCACCGGCUAACUACGUG